This 380-nucleotide ribosomal RNA is filed under the name uncultured bacterium. RNAcentral's name for it is "bacterial SSU rRNA". It matches the Rfam family "Bacterial small subunit ribosomal RNA", at positions 30 to 406 of the family's 1533-position model. The record is from RNAcentral.
AGUGAACGCUGGCGGCAGGCCUAACACAUGCAAGUCGAGCGGCAGCGCGGGUGUAGCAAUACAUCUGGCGGCGAGCGGCGGACGGGUGAGGAAUACAUCGGAAUUUACCCAAUCGUGGGGGAUAACGUAGGGAAACUUACGCUAAUACCGCAUGAACUGGAGACAGCAAAGCGGCGGACCGAAAGGCGUCGCGCGGUUGGAUGAGCCGAUGUCGGAUUAGCUAGNGGCGGGGUAAAGGCCCACCAAGGCGACGAUCCGUAGCUGGUCUGAGAGGAUGAUCAGCCACACUGGAACUGAGACACGGUCCAGACUCCUACGGGAGGCAGCAGUGGGAAUAUUGGACAAUGGGCGCAAGCCUGAUCCAGCCAUGCCGCGUGUGU